GAGGAAGUAAAAGUCGUAACAAGGUUUCCGUAGGUGAACCUGCGGAAGGAUCAUUACCGAGUUUUCGGGCUUCGGCUCGACUCUCCCACCCUUUGUGAACGUACCUCUGUUGCUUUGGCGGCUCCGGCCGCCAAAGGACCUCCAAACUCCAGUCAGUAAACGCAGACGUCUGAUAAACAAGUUAAUAAACUAAAACUUUCAACAACGGAUCUCUUGGUUCUGGCAUCGAUGAAGAACGCAGCGAAAUGCGAUAAGUAAUGUGAAUUGCAGAAUUCAGUGAAUCAUCGAAUCUUUGAACGCACAUUGCGCCCCUUGGUAUUCCGGGGGGCAUGCCUGUUCGAGCGUCAUUACAACCCUCAAGCUCUGCUUGGAAUUGGGCACCGUCCUCACUGCGGACGCGCCUCAAAGACCUCGGCGGUGGCUGUUCAGCCCUCAAGCGUAGUAGAAUACACCUCGCUUUGGAGUGGUUGGCGUCGCCCGCCGGACGAACCUUCUGAACUUUUCUCAAGGUUGACCUCGGAUCAGGUAGGGAUACCCGCUGAACUUAAGCAUAUCAAUA
RNAcentral lists this ribosomal RNA (559 nucleotides) under Lasiodiplodia theobromae. RNAcentral's name for it is "eukaryotic LSU rRNA". The stretch from base 194 to 347 matches the Rfam family "5.8S ribosomal RNA". The record is from RNAcentral. Lineage: Eukaryota; Fungi; Ascomycota; Dothideomycetes; Botryosphaeriales; Botryosphaeriaceae.